Molecule: ribosomal RNA, 253 nt
Filed under: uncultured bacterium
Lineage: Bacteria
Description: partial 16S ribosomal RNA
Rfam family: Bacterial small subunit ribosomal RNA
Source: RNAcentral
UACAGAGGUCUCAAGCGUUGUUCGGAAUUACUGGGCGUAAAGGGCGCGUAGGCGGUGUGUCAAGUCAGGCGUGAAAGCCCCGGGCUCAACCUGGGAACCGCGCCUGAGACUGGCACGCUCGAGUUCGGGAGAGGAUGGUGGAAUUCCCAGUGUAGAGGUGAAAUUCGUAGAUAUUGGGAAGAACACCGAUGGCGAAGGCAGCCAUCUGGACCGACACUGACGCUGAGGCGCGAAAGCGUGGGGAGCAAACAGG